Molecule: ribosomal RNA, 464 nt
Filed under: uncultured bacterium
Lineage: Bacteria
Description: partial 16S ribosomal RNA
Rfam family: Bacterial small subunit ribosomal RNA
Source: RNAcentral
CCUACGGGAGGCAGCAGUAGGGAAUUUUCGUCAAUGGGCGCAAGCCUGAACGAGCAAUGCCGCGUGAACGAGGAAGGUCUUCGGAUCGUAAAGUUCUGUUGAAGGGGAAAAAGAGCGGAGAGAGGAAAUGGUCUCCGAUUGAUAUUUCCCUUCGAGGAAGUCACGGAUAACUCCGUGCGAGCAGGCUCGGUAAUACGUAGGUGGCGAGCGUUAUCCGGAAUGAUUGGGCGUAAAGGGUGCGUAGGCGGCCUGCUAAGUCUGGGGUAAAAGGUACCGGCUAAAACGGUAAAGGGUCUGGAAACUGGCGGGCUAGAGAGCAGGAGAGGGCGGUGGAACGCCAUGUGUAGCGGUAAAAUGCGUAGAUAUAUGGAAGAACACCAGUGGCGAAGGCGGCCGCCUGGCCUGUUACUGACGCUGAGGCACGAAAGCGUGGGGAGCAAAUAGGAUUAGAUACCCCUGUAGUC